Stegodyphus dumicola is the source of this 443-nucleotide long non-coding RNA. The record is from RefSeq and is a predicted model, not a curated record. NCBI's taxonomy places the organism in Eukaryota, Metazoa, Arthropoda, Arachnida, Araneae, Eresidae.
GCCUUACCUGUGGCUAGAGUGUGUUAGAUUUCUGAUAUGAUAAAAUGUUAUUUAUUUUUAUGAAUAACUUAUUGACACAUAUCUAAAGUUAAAAGAACCACAUAUUUUAUAUAAAAUUAUUCCUUUUUUUAAUAGUUUGUUUAAUUCGAAAAGGAUUUGGUCAAUUUAAGUGUUGUUUCUGUGAUAUAUUUAAAAGAUUUUGCACUGACUUAGUAGCAGUGGAACUUGCAUAAUGUCUGUGUUCCUCUAGUGGCAGGUCGAAGUACAAAUUAUGAAAAACAGGAAGCUAUCACAGUUGUUAGACUACUGCAAAUAAUAUUUCUCAAUUAGUGAUCUGAAAUAUUUGAUGCAGAAUUUUUGAAUUGUAUAUAUUUUCGAAAUGAUGGAAAUAUUGUGAUGUUGAAAAUUUAAUAAAUAAUACCAGACAUGUAUUGAAAAAUAUA